Long non-coding RNA from Pundamilia nyererei, 364 nucleotides. RefSeq lists it as uncharacterized. NCBI's taxonomy places the organism in Eukaryota, Metazoa, Chordata, Actinopteri, Cichliformes, Cichlidae. The transcript has 4 exons. The record is from RefSeq and is a predicted model, not a curated record.
AUUGACUGGGAGGCCUCCCCGGAGCAAAAACAUCAGUGCCGGCUCAAGGGAAAAGACAAUAAGACAGAGUGUUUUAAUCACAUCCGCCUUCUCCAGAGGUUCAACUCAACUCAUCUCUACACGUGUGGUACUAAUGCCUACAGACCCCUCUGUGCAUACAUAGACGUGGAGAGAUUUGUGAUUUCAUCUCAGCCUGAAGAAGGCAGAGACAAAUGCCCCUACGGCCCCACAACAGGUUACACUGCCCUCAUUAUAGACCAGCAGAUAUACACAGCUUCCCAGUAUGAGUUUAGGAGCUUUCCAGAUAUCCGCCGAAACUCUCCGUCUCCCACGCUGAAGACAGAAGAUGCUCCCACACGCUGGC